Molecule: long non-coding RNA, 2874 nt
Organism: Carassius auratus (goldfish)
Lineage: Eukaryota; Metazoa; Chordata; Actinopteri; Cypriniformes; Cyprinidae
Source: Ensembl
UUAAGCAUUUUUUUUUUUACAUUUGUACGAGUAUAUGUAAAAAAAAAAACUUUUACUUUCGUAAACUAGCUUCUUCCUUACUGCCUGUGUGAAUAUCCCCUUACAUACAGCUUAUUUGUUAGUGAUUGAAGCUGUUUUUAACGCUUCUAAGGACGAAAAAGCAGACAGAAGUGUUUAUAAAGCUCCGGGGAGAGAAGGAUGAGCUCUUCACCCGCGUCUUGCUUAGUGCUGUCACGGUUGCUAGGUGACAUGAUAUGAGCAACGGGUAAGGGAGGGAACUGAAAGAAGGGUAGGCUGUCCAAAUUCACAAACACCGACUUCCGGUUUUUGCGGUCGUCGGAGGACCCCUCCUCCUUCAACCGGGUAGGAAGGAUCCUAAGGAGGAACACAGUUGCAGAACACAGUUGCAAUAGCCAGCUCCAGACGUGCGCUCUCCAUUAUUGUUCAAUGUUGUGCGUUCAUGCAAACAAAUGUGAGUAAUCAUUUAAAUAUUUAAUUAACACUUUGUAGUUAUAAUUGUGAAUGUCUGGCGAUCUGUGGAAUGUUUUUGAGAUGUGUAAUGAUGAUCGCGAUUUGACCGCGAAUAGGCACUAAUUUCCAUAAGCCGCGUUAGUCUGAUCACAAUGAACUCACACGUGUUGUUGUAUUUCUUGCUGCGUCAUGCCGUGUAUUGGAGUUUACUUUCUUAUAUAAUAUUCAUAUAUUAUCUGAUAGUUAAGUAUUCGUUUGUGAGUGAUUUAAUCAGUUAUUGAUAUUUUGUGAGUUAAUUUGCAGUGAAUAUAUACAGAUGUUGUAUUCAUAUUGUAUUCUCUUUAUCUGUUUAACAGACCACAACGCAAUAACCUAGGUCAAAUACUGGCAUUUGAUCCGUCACAUCUUCAGAUGAUGUUGUAAGGGAUAUCACUGCUUACCUGAAAAGUACUAUUAAAGAAAAGCUUGAAAGGAUUCACAUCGACCAUGCCUGAUUCUCUAACUGGAUCAACUCGAUCAACCGCUCGAAUUGCUCCAGCUCAGAUCUCAAGCGGUGGAUGUCCUGCAGCCGGUUGCUCGGGUGUUUGGUGACCGCGGUCUGUGUGCGUAGAGUCCCGGCGUAUGUCUCCGCUUCUAGCGCUUAGGACUCUUGGCAAAUCGUGAUUCCGGUCCGGGACGUACACGUUUUCCUUAACUUUUGCCUCAUCAGGGUUUAUAUCCGGCGGCUGUUAGUCACUCUACACAGCUACCCGCGUGUCAAAAUAAGGGCGAGACACUAACAUUUGGGAUGAAAUCUAAUUUUGGUGUAAAUUAAAGUAUUUAACAACCUGUAGUUCUCUAUGAGAGAUCGCUAAUGUGUCGUCAUCAUGACGUUUCCCCAGUGGUGAACGCAAAGCAUUUUGGGAAUCCGCGGCACAAACAUUAGGCGCUAGACUUCUUUGUAUGAGGGAAGAACACAGUGUUCAAGAUACUGUCUACCUAUAAACUGCAACAUAAAGCUUAAGAAUGGAAUAUCCUUUUAUCAUUUUCCAGCGGGGAAAAGUAAUAGUACAAGCCAUGUUUCAGAGGUGACAAAAAGGGCGACGAAUGGCAUGGAUAGCAGCGGUAAGGAGGCCAAGCUUACAUUCGAUAACACUCCACCACACAUGAUGGUGUUCAAAGCAUUUUCACAAAGGUAAGUUACAAUUACUUCCUGUAAAUGUUAACUGUUAACUAGCAUGAAAUGGCUAGAAAAUGAGCUUAAGUUACCAAUGUACUAAAGCGUAACGUUAAUCAGUUUUAAAUGUCGUACAUCUAGGCUACAUUGCAAUUUAUUUGGUAACUGUGUUUGCAGGCAAACCUGCCUAUGAAAUGUUGGAAGGUGAUCCUGCUUUGAUUACAGGAAUAAAUUAGUUUAAAAUAUAUUAAAAUAGAAAAGUAAUUUUAAAUUUUCAUAAUAUUUCACAAUAUUACUGUAUUUAUUAUUAUUAUUAUUAUUAUUAUUUUAUCAAAUAAAUGCAGCCUUGGUGAGCAGAAGAUGCUUCUUUUAAAAACAUUUAAAAAUCUUACUGACCCCAAAGCUUUGAAAGCUAGAGUAUGUUUCCCCCCUGUGUAUAGCUAAUCUGGAUUCCUAAGGAAUAGAGGUUGUGAUAUGACACGAUUUCUUUAUAUUGUUACUGUCAGACACUACACCUGCACCUGAGAUGGAAGGUCCUGUGAAUUCACCUCCAUCACCUCCUUUAUCUUUAUUAAGGAAGAAUUGUGCAAAAUGAGUGUUCUUUGGUUGCAAACACAAUUACAUAACUUAAAUAGUAGUAACAACCAACUUUCAGUUUCUUUACAUAUUUAACAUGUAAAUACAUUAAGAUGAAUACAUUAACAUGUAAAUACAUUUAGAUGAAUAUUAUUAUAUGAUUAUAAAGAGUCAAUAGAAAUGAUGAAAAACUGAAAAUGUAUGAGGUAGGUUGUGUGUGAUAAGUCACAGACACAUGACUCUUCUCUGGCUGGUGCGCUGCUGAGUCUCACGCAGUCUAAAUGGAACCACUGUAUAGGACAGCUCUGAUUAUCGCAAGCUAACAUGUCAUCAAGCUCUUCAGGCUGUCUGUAAAAGCACCACAACACAGCCUUUUCACAUGCCCUUCUUUUGGGCUUGAGGGUGUUACUUUGACCAGUCGCGAGAGUUCCCAAAUGUCACGUUUCACAUUUUUCGUUCUUUCUGGAAUAUUUUUACUCGAAACUAGUUAUUUAGAUACAGACCUUAGAUUUGUGGGAUUUAAUCGAAGACAUAAAUGGCUACAGUCAUAAAUGUGGCUAUAAUUCAGACUAGCAACAUUAAUGAAUGAACGAUAUAAUUCUAGUCUGUCUCUGCCUUAAAACAGAAUCAGAGAAGGAAAAUGCAGAACUCCAGAUUAAUGCAAGCUGCAU